UAACACGUGAGUAACCUGCCCUCCACUCUGGGAUAAGCGCUGGAAACGGCGUCUAAUACUGGAUACGACCGACCCUCGCAUGGGGUGUUGGUGGAAAGAUUUAUCGGUGGUGGAUGGACUCGCGGCCUAUCAGCUUGUUGGUGGGGUAAUGGCCUACCAAGGCGACGACGGGUAGCCGGCCUGAGAGGGCGACCGGCCACACUGGGACUGAGACACGGCCCAGACUCCUACGGGAGGCAGCAGUGGGGAAUAUUGCACAAUGGGCGAAAGCCUGAUGCAGCGACGCCGCGUGAGGGAUGACGGCCUUCGGGUUGUAAACCUCUUUCAGCAGGGAAGAAGCUUUUGUGACGGUACCUGCAGAAGAAGCACCGGCUAACUACGUGCCAGCAGCCGCGGUAAUACGUAGGGUGCGAGCGUUGUCCGGAAUUAUUGGGCGUAAAGAGCUUGUAGGCGGUUUGUCGCGUCUGCUGUGAAAAUUCAGGGCUUAACCCUGGACGUGCAGUGGGUACGGGCAGACUAGAGUAUGGUAGGGGAGACUGGAAUUCCUGGUGUAGCGGUGGAAUGCGCAGAUAUCAGGAGGAACACCGAUGGCGAAGGCAGGUCUCUGGGCCAUUACUGACGCUGAGAAGCGAAAGCAUGGGGAGCGAAC
RNAcentral lists this ribosomal RNA (649 nucleotides) under Kytococcus sedentarius. RNAcentral describes it as "bacterial SSU rRNA". It matches the Rfam family "Bacterial small subunit ribosomal RNA", at positions 111 to 773 of the family's 1533-position model. Lineage: Bacteria; Bacillati; Actinomycetota; Actinomycetes; Micrococcales; Kytococcaceae. The record is from RNAcentral.